GACGAACGCUGGCGGCGUGCUUAACACAUGCAAAUCGAACGGAAAGGCCCUGCUUUUGUGGGGUGCUCGAGUGGCGAACGGGUGAGUAACACGUGAGUAACCUGCCCUUGACUUUGGGAUAACUUCAGGAAACUGGGGCUAAUACCGGAUAGGAGCUCCUGCUGCAUGGUGGGGGUUGGAAAGUUUCGGCGGUUGGGGAUGGACUCGCGGCUUAUCAGCUUGUUGGUGGGGUAGUGGCUUACCAAGGCUUUGACGGGUAGCCGGCCUGAGAGGGUGACCGGCCACAUUGGGACUGAGAUACGGCCCAGACUCCUACGGGAGGCAGCAGUGGGGAAUAUUGCACAAUGGGCGGAAGCCUGAUGCAGCAACGCCGCGUGCGGGAUGACGGCCUUCGGGUUGUAAACCGCUUUCGCCUAUGACGAAGCGUGAGUGACGGUAAUGGGUAAAGAAGCACCGGCUAACUACGUG
RNAcentral lists this ribosomal RNA (468 nucleotides) under uncultured bacterium. Its description in RNAcentral is "partial 16S ribosomal RNA". It matches the Rfam family "Bacterial small subunit ribosomal RNA", at positions 28 to 507 of the family's 1533-position model. The record is from RNAcentral.